GAGUUUGAUCCUGGCUCAGAUUGAACGCUGGCGGCAUGCCUUACACAUGCAAGUCGAGCGGCAGCGCGGGGGCAACCCUGGCGGCGAGCGGCGAACGGGUGAGUAAUACAUCGGAACGUGUCCAGUAGUGGGGGAUAACCUGUCGAAAGAUAGGCUAAAUACCGCAUACGAUCUACGGAUGAAAGCGGGGGACCGCAAGGCCUCGCGCUAUUGGAGCGGCCGAUGUCGGAUUAGCUAGUUGGCGGGGUAAAAGCCCACCAAGGCGACGAUCCGUAGCUGGUCUGAGAGGACGACCAGCCACACUGGAACUGAGACACGGUCCAGACUCCUACGGGAGGCAGCAGUGGGGAAUUUUGGGAC
RNAcentral lists this ribosomal RNA (360 nucleotides) under uncultured beta proteobacterium. RNAcentral's name for it is "bacterial SSU rRNA". It matches the Rfam family "Bacterial small subunit ribosomal RNA", at positions 9 to 370 of the family's 1533-position model. Lineage: Bacteria; Pseudomonadati; Pseudomonadota; Betaproteobacteria. The record is from RNAcentral.